RNAcentral lists this ribosomal RNA (253 nucleotides) under uncultured bacterium. Its description in RNAcentral is "partial 16S ribosomal RNA". It matches the Rfam family "Bacterial small subunit ribosomal RNA", at positions 524 to 776 of the family's 1533-position model. The record is from RNAcentral.
GACAGAGGAUGCAAACGUUGCUCGGAAUUACUGGGCGUAAAGCGCAUGUAGGCGGUCCGGUAAGUCAGGUGUGAAAUCCCGGGGCUCAACCUCGGAAGGGCACAUGAUACUGCCGGACUUGAGUACUGGAGAGGAGAGUGGAAUUCCCGGUGUAGAGGUGAAAUUCGUAGAUAUCGGGAGGAACACCAGUGGCGAAGGCGACUCUCUGGACAGAUACUGACGCUGAGAUGCGAAAGCGUGGGAAGCAAACAGG